This 345-nucleotide transfer-messenger RNA is filed under the name Bacillota bacterium. It matches the Rfam family "transfer-messenger RNA". Rfam says of the family: Bacterial tmRNA, also known as 10Sa RNA or SsrA, is named for its dual tRNA and mRNA-like properties. Its role is to liberate the mRNA from a stalled ribosome. Lineage: Bacteria; Bacillati; Bacillota. The record is from RNAcentral.
GGGGUUGAAAUGGUUUCGACGGGGGAUAGAUUGGCGGGAGAAGCGAGCCGGGGUACCUACGCCCGUAAACGUGGAAAUCAAUUUAUUUGCCAAACCGAAUUACGCUUUAGCUGCUUAAGUGCAGUCUAACCCUGACCGAACUUCGUCCGUAGAGUUUGCGACGGGUCAUUAAUACGGACUUUCUGCCGCAGGCUUGGCCCGACCUGCGGCGGGAGACUCAGGGCCUGGCCCCUUGGCAGGCUGUUCGUGGCCGGCUAAGGAGUGAGAUCAAAUCACGGACUGCGCUCGGAGAUGCUCCUGUGGGUCAUCUUUCGGACAGGGGUUCGACUCCCCUCAGCUCCACCA